GGAUCACCUCCUUACCUGAAGAUACCUUCCGGCGCAGUGUCCACACAGAUUGUCUGAUAGAAGUAACGAGCAAAGUCACACCAGAGUCCCCAUCGUCUAGAGGCCCAGGACACUGCCCUUUCACGGCUGUAACAGGGGUUCGAAUCCCCUUGGGGACGCCAUACCGGUAACGAAGUGAAAGACGUUAUCAACCGUAUCUCAAAACUGAUUGUGCGAAAGCGAGUCACGUUUGAGAUAUUUGCUCUUUAACAAUCCGGAACAAGCUGAAAAUUGAAACGACAUGUCGUGUUCAUUCUCCGUAAUAAGAAUGAAGUUAACGACAUGUUCGAGUCUCUCAAUGCCUGCAACUGACAGACGUCUUUCGGGACGCUUGUGGGUUGUGAGGUUAAGCGACUAAGCGUACACGGUGGAUGCCCAGGCAGUCAGAGGCGAUGAAGGGCGUGCUAAUCUGCGAUAAGCGUCGGUAAGGUGAUAUGAACCGCAACAACCGACGAUACCCGAAUGGGGAAACCCAGUGCAAUCCGUUGCACUAUCAUGUCAUGAAUACAUAGUGGCAUGAGGCGAACCGGGGGAACUGAAACAUCUAAGUACCAA
Molecule: unclassified non-coding RNA, 594 nt
Filed under: Erwinia pyrifoliae
Lineage: Bacteria; Pseudomonadati; Pseudomonadota; Gammaproteobacteria; Enterobacterales; Erwiniaceae
Description: partial 16S-23S ribosomal RNA intergenic spacer
Rfam family: Bacterial large subunit ribosomal RNA (bases 384-594)
Source: RNAcentral